UAAGGAAUAUUGGUCAAUGGGCGGAAGCCUGAACCAGCCAUGCCGCGUGCAGGAAGACGGCCCUACGGGUUGUAAACUGCUUUUGCAGGGGAAUAAACCUCUCUACGUGUAGAGAGCUGAAUGUACUCUGAGAAUAAGGAUCGGCUAACUCCGUGCCAGCAGCCGCGGUAAUACGGAGGAUCCAAGCGUUAUCCGGAUUUAUUGGGUUUAAAGGGUGCGUAGGUGGCCUAUUAAGUCAGGGGUGAAAGACGGUAGCUUAACUAUCGCAGUGCCUUUGAUACUGAUGGGCUUGAAUACACUAGAGGUAGGCGGAAUGUGACAAGUAGCGGUGAAAUGCAUAGAUAUGUCACAGAACACCAAUUGCGAAGGCAGCUUACUAUGGUGUUAUUGACACUGAGGCACGAAAGCGUGGGGAUCAAACAGGAUUAGAUACCCCGGUAGUCC
This 444-nucleotide ribosomal RNA is filed under the name uncultured bacterium. RNAcentral's name for it is "bacterial SSU rRNA". It matches the Rfam family "Bacterial small subunit ribosomal RNA", at positions 355 to 796 of the family's 1533-position model. The record is from RNAcentral.